UACAUGGCGUACUGCUCAGUAACACGUGGAUAACCUGCCCUUGGGACCGGCAUAACCCCGGGAAACUGGGGAUAAUUCCGGAUAACGCAUAUUUGCUGGAAUGCUUUAUGCGUCAAAAGGAUUCGUCUGCCCAAGGAUGGGUCUGCGGCCUAUCAGGUAGUAGUGGGUGUAAUGUACCUACUAGCCAGCGACGGGUACGGGUUGUGAGAGCAAGAGCCCGGAGAUGGAUUCUGAGACAUGAAUCCAGGCCCUACGGGGCGCAGCAGGCGCGAAAACUUUACAAUGCGGGAAACCGUGAUAAGGGGACACCGAGUGCCAGCAUCAUAUGCUGGCUGUCCGGAUGUGUAAAAUACAUCCGUUAGCAAGGGCCGGGCAAGACCGGUGCCAGCCGCCGCGGUAACACCGGCGGCCCGAGUGGUGAUCGUGAUUAUUGGGUCUAAAGGGUCCGUAGCCGGUUUGGUCAGUCCUCCGGGAAAUCUGAUAGCUCAACUAUUAGGCUUUCGGGGGAUACUGCCAGACUUGGAACCGGGAGAGGUAAGAGGUACUACAGGGGUAGGAGUGAAAUCUUGUAAUCCCUGUGGGACCACCUGUGGCGAAGGCGUCUUACCAGAACGGGUUCGACGGUGAGGGACGAAAGCUGGGGGCACGAACCGGAUUAGAUACCCGGGUAGUCCCAGCCGUAAACGAUGCUCGCUAGGUGUCAGGCAUGGCGCGACCGUGUCUGGUGCCGCAGGGAAGCCGUGAAGCGAGCCACCUGGGAAGUACGGCCGCAAGGCUGAAACUUAAAGGAAUUGGCGGGGGAGCACAACAACGGGUGGAGCCUGCGGUUUAAUUGGACUCAACGCCGGACAACUCACCGGGGGCGACAGCAAUAUGUAGGCCAAGCUGAAGACUUUGCCUGAAUCGCUGAGAGGAGGUGCAUGGCCGUCGCCAGUUCGUACUGUGAAGCAUCCUGUUAAGUCAGGCAACGAGCGAGACCCGUGCCCACUGUUACCAGCAUGUCCUCCGGGACGAUGGGUACUCUGUGGGGACCGCCGAUGUUAAAUCGGAGGAAGGUGCGGGCCACGGUAGGUCAGUAUGCCCCGAAUCUCCCGGGCUACACGCGGGCUACAAUGGAUGGGACAAUGGGUCCCUCCCCUGAAAAGGGCUGGUAAUCUCACAAACCCAUUCGUAGUUCGGAUCGAGGGCUGUAACUCGCC
This 1199-nucleotide ribosomal RNA is filed under the name Methanosarcina mazei. RNAcentral describes it as "bacterial SSU rRNA". It matches the Rfam family "Archaeal small subunit ribosomal RNA", at positions 75 to 1272 of the family's 1478-position model. The record is from RNAcentral. Lineage: Archaea; Methanobacteriati; Methanobacteriota; Methanomicrobia; Methanosarcinales; Methanosarcinaceae.